This 167-nucleotide ribosomal RNA is filed under the name Eviota prasina (green bubble goby). RNAcentral describes it as "partial 12S rRNA". The record is from RNAcentral. Lineage: Eukaryota; Metazoa; Chordata; Actinopteri; Gobiiformes; Gobiidae.
CGCCGCGGUUAUACGACGGGCUCAAGCUGACAGAACUCGGCGUAAAGGGUGGUUAAUGUACUUUUAACUAAAGCCAAACAACUUCAAAGCCGUUAUAACCUCAUGAAGACAUGGAAGCCCCACUACGAAAGUGGCUUUAAAAUUAUGACCCCACGAAAGCUAGGGAA